RNAcentral lists this ribosomal RNA (253 nucleotides) under uncultured bacterium. Its description in RNAcentral is "partial 16S ribosomal RNA". It matches the Rfam family "Archaeal small subunit ribosomal RNA", at positions 474 to 727 of the family's 1478-position model. The record is from RNAcentral.
UACCAGCACCCCGAGUGGUCUGGACGAUUAUUGGGCCUAAAGCGUCCGUAGCCGGUCAUGCAAGUCCUCCGUUAAAUCCACCUGCUUAACAGAUGGGCUGCGGAGGAUACUACAAGGCUAGGAGGCGGAAGAGGCAAGCGGUACUCAGUGGGUAGGGGUAAAAUCCUCUGAUCCAUUGAAGACCACCAGUGGCGAAGGCGGCUUGCCAAUACGCGCUCGACGGUGAGGGAUGAAAGCUGGGGGAGCAAACCGG